Carassius gibelio (silver crucian carp) is the source of this 2338-nucleotide long non-coding RNA. RefSeq lists it as uncharacterized. The record is from RefSeq and is a predicted model, not a curated record. NCBI's taxonomy places the organism in Eukaryota, Metazoa, Chordata, Actinopteri, Cypriniformes, Cyprinidae. The transcript has 6 exons.
CAAAAACUGGGUAAUCAUAGUUCUAAAAGCUACUUUUAAACCCAGGUAAAGGAAUGUUUCACACAUGUAAUUUAGAAGUGGGUUUAGCACCACUUUCUACCCAGGGUUCUGAAACACUGUUUUUACAGUGUUAACCCUGCAUUGCAGUGCCAACCUUGUGAAACGAAGGGCUGUUAGAAUAUUACGGCUAGACACUUGGCGGCAGACAUCCACUCAUGUGCCUCAUAUUCACAUAUUUUGGACAGUCAAACAGCAUGCUGUAUAAACAGUCUUUACAGCGUUUGAAAGGUGUGAAAUAGGGAUGGAAAACAUCUAAACUGAAGUGAAGUACACUGUAAAUGCAAACAUGCUAUUUAAUUAAAAAUAUUAAUUUGACUUUAAUCAGUUUUUAUCAACCUGCUAUUUACACUUGCUUUUAGUAAGUUACUUGUACUUUGAGGUUGAAAAAUCUUACCAGCUCAGUUUACUUGAGUUAGAUUAAUUUAGAAAAAGUAAGUUUAUGAUCUGUGGGCAUGCGCAGAUCAGUCCUCUCUACGCUAGACGGCGAUAUUUGUUCACCACUAUGGCCCCGCCCUUCAAUAGCUACUAUUGGCCAGGCGCUUACGUACCUGAUUUGUACAGGUCAUAUCCCCUGACCAACCUUAACCAAUCCAGGUGAAUUGCCUAACCCCAACCAAUCAAGCUGCUUCGUAGGGCGGGUCUUGGCGUGGCGGGAUUCGUAAUUUUGCAGACAUGUCACAUCGUGCCUGCAACUGACCAAGUGGAGCUGGACCUAAACAUCGCUUCAACGGCGCUUUUGUUUAUCUUCAUCAUAACAGCGAUUCUUGUGCUUGGCACACUCAUUUGGCUCAAGCAGAUGGUGAUCAAUCCACACAUAGGUAGUCCCAGAAGUAAAAGAUACUGUGGGUUCGACUUAUAGCCCAUUAAGAUGAUGACUUCAGCAGUGUUGCACAAGCACUGAUCAGAAAAUACCCCUGCCUCGCUGAGCCUGGACCACACAAAUGGUAUGGCUGGAUAAACAGCCUUAAAUUUAAGAUGGCCAAUUAUCGCACAAAGUUUCGAAAAGCUGGAUGUGAGGAUGUAGCAAUCCUGGUUGAAAAUGGUUGAACGAUGGCCAGCACUCUUCACAGAGAGACAGGUGUUUGCUGAGUUUAAUUGAAUCGCCAGUAAGAAUCUUGAGGGAGACUUUUUUGAGGCUCUGGACCAGUACACGCCACGUUUCAUCAAACUCUUCAAAACAAAGAAGGGAACUGUUGGUCAGAAACUCAGGGAGCUGAUUCAGCACAUAAGCUGUAAGACACCAGACGUGACAGUACUUCACUCUGUUGUCCUCAAAGGCAUUCCCAUUUUACUCUGUGAUGAAUCCAGUGAAUUCUACAAGACCUGCUCUGAUACAACGAGAGACGAGGCCCUAGAAUGCAUCACUGUUGGUGUGCUGACAGUUGUCAGUGAAGAUAGUCCUCAUGAGGGUCAAAGCUCAGUGGACCUCCAGCCCAUCUCCACUGCCAUCAUUCUGGAGGGAGGUAUUGUCAUGGAUCAUAUUAAAAACUUGCCUCAGGCAGUUUGUCUGUUGUUUGGACUUACAUAUGUAUUGCAUUUGGAUUACCCAAAAUGCAUGGCAAAUACACUCAACUUCAUUCAGACUGUGAUGCUUGGACUGGGAAAGAAAAAACUCCCAUCAAAACUGUUAACUCUGAAGAACAGUCUUCUGGGUUAGAACAGUAAAGAGCUGUCAGAUAGCACUUUGUAAGCUUUGCAGCCAUUAAUGUUCUCCUAUUAUCAGAGAAAAUUUGAUGCUUUCAUGCAACUGUUCACGCUAAUUUACGAUCUCAUUUUAAAAAAGAAAAGAAAAAUUCCAUUGAAGUCUGUACCAUGUUAUGCAGGUAUGCUAAUGGUGGAAAUAGAGCUGUUUGCAAAGUGUUGUUAGUUGUUAUUAGAUGAUAAUGUCAGAAAAUAACCUAGCAAGGUUGUCCUGUUUACAUUUGUGUUUUUGGAAAACUUUUAAUAGUUUUAAUGUAGUACAAAUACAAACCCCAAGGACUGAUUUUUUUUUCUUUGUGGUGGUUUAAUCUUUGGACUGUUCAAUUUGAGAAACAAAAGCAUUUGUUGUACUUACAGCUUUGAUCAGAAAUGCACUGAUUUUUCCAUGCACUGAAGUCCUGUAGUUAUCAGGUUUUUACCUGUUUAAUAUUGGGAGACUCUUAUUAGCUCACAGAAAUGUGGUUUUAUUUUUUAUAUUUUUCCUUUAUUUUCUACAGUUAAAUCAAACAACAACUUUGUUGUUUAACUGCUGUUUGUACUUGAAUGUGCAUUGAAUAAAUGUUGUAAUGGAGCUGAA